CAGAGGGGGCAAGCGUUGUUCGGAAUUACUGGGCGUAAAGGGCGCGUAGGCGGCCUGCUAAGUCGAACGUGAAAUCCCUGGGCUCAACCCAGGAACUGCGUCCGAUACUGGUUGGCUUGAAUCCGGGAGAGGGAUGCGGAAUUCCAGGUGUAGCGGUGAAAUGCGUAGAUAUCUGGAGGAACACCGGUGGCGAAGGCGGCAUCCUGGACCGGCAUUGACGCUGAGGCGCGAAAGCCAGGGGAGCAAACGGGAUUAGAUACCCCGGUAGUCCUGGCCCUAAACGAUGAAUGCUUGGUGUGGCGGGUAUCGAUCCCUACCGUGCCGAAGCUAACGCAUUAAGCAUUCCGCCUGGGGAGUACGGUCGCAAGGCUG
Molecule: ribosomal RNA, 372 nt
Filed under: uncultured organism
Description: bacterial SSU rRNA
Rfam family: Bacterial small subunit ribosomal RNA
Source: RNAcentral